CCAAUAGCGUAUAUUAAAGUUGUUGCAGUUAAAAAGCUCGUAGUUGAAUUUCGGGAUCAAAUAAUCGGUCGUGCCUCCGGUACGUACUGGUUUUAUUGGUUCCUCCCUUCUGACGAACCAUGAUGUCAUUAAUUUGAUGUGGUGGAGAAUCAGGACUGCUACCUUGAAAAAAUUAGAGUGUUUAAAGCAGGCUAACGCUUGAAUCCAUUAGCAUGGAAUAAUGAAAUAGGACGUUCGACCCUAUGUUGUUGGUUUCUAGGAUCGACGUAAUGAUUAAUAGGGAUAGGUGGGGGCAUUAGUAUUCAAUUGUCAGAGGUGAAAUUCUUGGAUUUAUUGAAGACUAACUACUGCGAAAGCAUUUGCCAAGGAUGUUUUCAUUAAUCAAGAACGAAAGUUAGGGGAUCGAAGACGAUCAGAUACCGUCGUAGUCUUAACCAUAAACUAUGCCGACUAGGGAUCGGAUGAUGUUAAUUUUUUAAUGACUCAUUCGGCGCCUUACG
RNAcentral lists this ribosomal RNA (500 nucleotides) under uncultured Glomeromycotina. Its description in RNAcentral is "partial small subunit ribosomal RNA". It matches the Rfam family "Eukaryotic small subunit ribosomal RNA", at positions 591 to 1092 of the family's 1831-position model. The record is from RNAcentral. Lineage: Eukaryota; Fungi; Glomeromycota.